GACGAACGCUGGCGGCGUGCCUAAUACAUGUAAGUUGAGCGCUGAAGGUUGGUACUUGUACCAACUGGAUGAGCAGCGAACGGGUGAGUAACGCGUGGGGAAUCUGCCUUUGAGCGGGGGACAACAUUUGGAAACGAAUGCUAAUACCGCAUAAAAACUUUAAACACAAGUUUUAAGUUUGAAAGAUGCAAUUGCAUCACUCAAAGAUGAUCCCGCGUUGUAUUAGCUAGUUGGUGAGGUAAAGGCUCACCAAGGCGAUGAUACAUAGCCGACCUGAGAGGGUGAUCGGCCGAAUUGGGAAUGAAACACGGCCCAAACUCCUACGGGAGGCAGCAGUAGGGAAUCUUCGGCAAUGGACGAAAGUCUGACCGAGCAACGCCGCGUGAGUGAAGAAGGUUUUCGGAUCGUAAAACUCUGUUGGUAGAGAAGAACGUUGGUGAGAGUGGAAAGCUCAUCAAGUGACGGUAACUACCCAGAAAGGGACGGCUAACUACGUG
RNAcentral lists this ribosomal RNA (497 nucleotides) under uncultured bacterium. RNAcentral describes it as "partial 16S ribosomal RNA". It matches the Rfam family "Bacterial small subunit ribosomal RNA", at positions 28 to 507 of the family's 1533-position model. The record is from RNAcentral.